UUCUGCAGCAGAGCUAGUUCCUACGUGUGUGAAGAAUUAUAUGUGCUGACUCAAGUGACAAAAUGAUGAAAAGGUUUUCUACUGAGGAAGGCUCAUAUUCUUCUAAUGUUAGCCUAAAUUCCACUGAAGUCCAUAACUUGAUCCAUUUUCCCCAGUGAACUUGGGCUGGACAAGUCUGGUUUGGAGUAUCCUCUCUCUGAAAGGCUAUGUGUUUUUCAGUGGAAUUUACUCCAUAAGUAUCACACAAAGCAGCUGUCCACAGCAAGAAAUUCAUCAUUCACUCUCUGAUCAACACAUACAG
Molecule: long non-coding RNA, 301 nt
Organism: Melopsittacus undulatus (budgerigar)
Lineage: Eukaryota; Metazoa; Chordata; Aves; Psittaciformes; Psittaculidae
Exons: 3
Source: RefSeq, a predicted model, not a curated record